This 436-nucleotide ribosomal RNA is filed under the name uncultured bacterium. RNAcentral describes it as "partial 16S ribosomal RNA". It matches the Rfam family "Bacterial small subunit ribosomal RNA", at positions 29 to 508 of the family's 1533-position model. The record is from RNAcentral.
AGCGAACGCUGGCGGCAGGCUUAACACAUGCAAGUCGAGCGGGCACCUUCGGGUGUCAGCGGCAGACGGGUGAGUAACACGUGGGAACGUACCCUUCGGUUCGGAAUAACGCUGGGAAACUAGCGCUAAUACCGGAUACGCCCUUAUGGGGAAAGGUUUACUGCCGAAGGAUCGGCCCGCGUCUGAUUAGCUAGUUGGUGGGGUAACGGCCUACCAAGGCGACGAUCAGUAGCUGGUCUGAGAGGAUGAUCAGCCACACUGGGACUGAGACACGGCCCAGACUCCUACGGGAGGCAGCAGUGGGGAAUAUUGGACAAUGGGCGCAAGCCUGAUCCAGCCAUGCCGCGUGAGUGAUGAAGGCCUUAGGGUUGUAAAGCUCUUUUGUCCGGGACGAUAAUGACGGUACCGGAAGAAUAAGCCCCGGCUAACUUCGUGC